This 504-nucleotide ribosomal RNA is filed under the name uncultured bacterium. Its description in RNAcentral is "partial 16S ribosomal RNA". It matches the Rfam family "Bacterial small subunit ribosomal RNA", at positions 30 to 523 of the family's 1533-position model. The record is from RNAcentral.
AUUGAACGCUGGCGGCAGGCCUAACACAUGCAAGUCGAACGGUAGCACAGAGAGCUUGCUCUCGGGUGACGAGUGGCGGACGGGUGAGUAAUGUCUGGGAAACUGCCUGAUGGAGGGGGAUAACUACUGGAAACGGUAGCUAAUACCGCAUAAUGUCGCAAGACCAAAGAGGGGGACCUUCGGGCCUCUUGCCAUCGGAUGUGCCCAGAUGGGAUUAGCUUGUUGGUGAGGUAAAAGCUCACCAAGGCGACGAUCCCUAGCUGGUCUGAGAGGAUGACCAGCCACACCGGAACUGAGACACGGUCCAGACUCCUACGGGAGGCAGCAGUGGGGAAUAUUGCACAAUGGGCGCAAGCCUGAUGCAGCCAUGCCGCGUGUGUGAAGAAGGCCUUCGGGUUGUAAAGCACUUUCAGCGGGGAGGAAGGCGGUGAGUUUAAUAAGCUCACCGAUUGACGUUACCCGCAGAAGAAGCACCGGCUAACUCCGUGCCAGCCGCCGCGGUAA